ACAGGCUCUCGGACGUUUCCCAAUCCAAUGACAGGUACCCGACCAGCCAGUAACCGCGAUCCAUCACGCUGUAGCUCACCGCCAUCACGAACCCGGCCAGCAGCGAAUACGACCAGAACUCCCGCCGGUCGGAUCGUCCGGAAAAAUCAAAGCAUCGCCUGAUGGGCACAAGUGCAGCGAUCAUUCACGCUCCGGGCAACGGAUGUUGGGCGUCAACAGCUGACGAUCUUCUAGCAUUGCGAAGCCAAGCAUCAACUGAACCCCGCAGCUCGA
Molecule: unclassified non-coding RNA, 273 nt
Filed under: uncultured bacterium
Lineage: Bacteria
Description: contains 16S-23S intergenic spacer region
Source: RNAcentral